RNAcentral lists this non-coding RNA (30 nucleotides) under Rattus norvegicus (Norway rat). The record is from RNAcentral. Lineage: Eukaryota; Metazoa; Chordata; Mammalia; Rodentia; Muridae.
UCACUAUGUAGACUUUGCUAGCCUGGAAUC